UAGCAAGCAAGUCCCUGCUCCAUUUGAUGUGGGGGUAAGGUUGGUGUUUAUCUUCCAUAGUCGUGGGAUCAGCAGCUCUCAGAGGCCAGAAGCACAGAGGGCAGGUUAUAUAUAUUAACAACCCAGACACAGUAGCAAGGUUGAAAAAUUUGCUGACUCAGCCAAGCUCCCAGGGUUGGAGGAGAUGAAGCAAAGGCAAAAUUCUGAGAACUCUUCCUGGAAUAACUAGAGCUUCCAGGAUCACAGACAAGGGAAAGUCACUGUCUGGAGAAAACUCACUAUGGUCACAUGAGAGCUGCAAUCAUACCUGGAAAGAAACCUUAAUGCAUGUGAGUAUCAUGCCUGGGAUCCAAGAAUUGGAGAGGAGGGGAAAUUAGCUAUUUGUGAGUCCUCUAAUAAAU
This 401-nucleotide long non-coding RNA is filed under the name Capra hircus (goat). Its description in RNAcentral is "lncRNA (ENSCHIG00000001578.1)". The record is from RNAcentral. Lineage: Eukaryota; Metazoa; Chordata; Mammalia; Artiodactyla; Bovidae.